This 70-nucleotide transfer RNA is filed under the name Capra hircus (goat). It matches the Rfam family "tRNA". From Rfam's summary of the family: Transfer RNA (tRNA) molecules are approximately 80 nucleotides in length. Their secondary structure includes four short double-helical elements and three loops (D, anti-codon, and T loops). Further hydrogen bonds mediate the characteristic L-shaped molecular structure. tRNAs have two regions of fundamental functional importance: the anti-codon, which is responsible for specific mRNA codon recognition, and the 3' end, to which the tRNAs corresponding amino acid is attached (by aminoacyl-tRNA synthetases). tRNAs cope with the degeneracy of the genetic code in two manners: having more than one tRNA (with a specific anti-codon) for a particular amino acid; and 'wobble' base-pairing, i.e. permitting non-standard base-pairing at the 3rd anti-codon position. Lineage: Eukaryota; Metazoa; Chordata; Mammalia; Artiodactyla; Bovidae. The record is from Rfam by way of RNAcentral. RNAcentral also lists the same sequence under 1 other name.
CCCAUUAUGGCUCAGUGGUAGAGUAUCUGCCUGAGAUGCAGGAGACCCAGGUUCGAUCCCUGAGUCGGGA